UCAUAUGAGAGUUUGAUCCUGGCUCAGGACGAACGCUGGCGGCGUGCCUAAUACAUGCAAGUCGAGC
This 67-nucleotide ribosomal RNA is filed under the name Lederbergia galactosidilytica. Its description in RNAcentral is "partial 16S ribosomal RNA". It matches the Rfam family "Bacterial small subunit ribosomal RNA", at positions 1 to 67 of the family's 1533-position model. The record is from RNAcentral. Lineage: Bacteria; Bacillati; Bacillota; Bacilli; Caryophanales; Bacillaceae.